CUUUGCAACACGUAUUUUUUUUUCGGUAUAUUUUUGAUGUAUUGUUUACGAGGAUAAACAUGACACGAACAGAGAAUAAAAAUCCGAUGCCGUACUCGCCGUAGGCCAACCUCCACGACCUAUAGCGGCAUUUGAUAAGGCAACGAUUGCUAUCGGCCACCACGGACCAACGUGUGUUAAAACCUUCUGAGAUUAUUUUCAUGUUGUCCCUAAUAUAACCAAUAUUUUAAGUGUGUUGUUACUAUUUAUGAAUUAAAAGUUUUAUAAAUAA
Molecule: long non-coding RNA, 271 nt
Organism: Melitaea cinxia (Glanville fritillary)
Lineage: Eukaryota; Metazoa; Arthropoda; Insecta; Lepidoptera; Nymphalidae
Exons: 2
Source: RefSeq, a predicted model, not a curated record